RNAcentral lists this ribosomal RNA (426 nucleotides) under uncultured bacterium. RNAcentral describes it as "partial 16S ribosomal RNA". It matches the Rfam family "Bacterial small subunit ribosomal RNA", at positions 354 to 796 of the family's 1533-position model. The record is from RNAcentral.
GUGAGGAAUUUUCCGCAAUGGGCGAAAGCCUGACGGAGCAAUGCCGCGUGAAGGAUGAAGGCCUAUGGGUUGUAAACUUCUUUUCUUAGAGAAGAAUAUUGACGGUAUCUGAGGAAUAAGCAUCGGCUAACUCUGUGCAAGCAGCCCCGGUAAGACAGAGGAUGCAACCGUUAUCCGGAAUGAUUGGGCGUAAAGCGUCUGUAGGUGGCUUCAAAAGUCUCCUGUCAAAGAUCAGGGCGUAACCCUGGGCCGGCAGGAGAAACUCUGAGGCUAGAGUUUGGUAGGGGCAGAGGGAAUUCCAGGUGGAGCGGUGAAAUGCGUAGAGAUCGGGAGGAACACCAAAGGCGAAAGCACUCUGCUGGGCCACAACUGACACUGAGAGACGAAAGCGAGGGGAGCAAAAGGGAUUAGAAACCCUGGUAGUCC